This is a long non-coding RNA of Dreissena polymorpha, 2797 nucleotides long. RefSeq lists it as uncharacterized. The transcript is spliced from 4 exons. Lineage: Eukaryota; Metazoa; Mollusca; Bivalvia; Myida; Dreissenidae. The record is from RefSeq and is a predicted model, not a curated record.
AGUAAUACCAUAUUAUAACAACAAAGUAAAAAAAUAAAAUUUAAAAAAAAAAGUUAGAGCUAAAGAAACGAUGAUUUUGAUGAUCGGGAAUUUCCGUAACGCGUUCGGCAAUUUCCGCCGCUAUUUUACCCCGAUGACGUAUGUGUGCACCACUGCGCAUGACGAAUAUUCCCAUGUUAUGUACAGUAUGCACUGAAGCAUGCAAAUUUCCCUCAAAACUUCAAGGAUUACAAGACUGUGUUGAUCAUUCACUUGCAUAUACUUAAUUUAUAAUCUCUUUUGUGUUGAUUACGAGUCGAACUUUUACAUGACAUUGAGGAUUUACUGAUUUACAAGAUGGUUCAAUGUGCAGCGUUUGGCUGCAAUGCUCGUUCUGAAAAGCAAACGGAGAAGUAAGGAUUCUUCGGCUUCUCAAAGGACGAAAGUAUUAAGCGGAAAUGGAUUCUAUCCGUGAAUUCACGAAGGAUUAUCGACGGAAAGGUGGUGGACUUUACGCCAAGCAAAUAUGCAAAACUCUGCAUAAAACAUUUUGAAGAUAAGUGCUUUGUCCACCCCCCCCCCCCCCCCCCCCGAGUGUGAUGGCGAGUGCGGGCUUUGGGAUGAGACUGUCGCUGCAUCCUGAUGCAGUGCCAACUUUGUUCCCUGACACGGACAACUUCAAGGCAUUACAGCCGAAAGCCCUAAGGCCAGACGAGUUAGGAGCCCCCAAACGGAAACGUGACAACUAUGGUGCUUUUGCCAAGAGAAAUCGCAAAACGGCUCGAAGGCGCACAAGGAAUUACUGUUGGUCAUCGGAAGCAAGUGUCUUCUCUCUGACAUUCGCAUGCUGUCACCAGCUGAACAGACCUCGAUGCUGGAGGCUCAGCACAAGGUGGUCUGCCAAUUUGCGCCAAAAUUUGUCUGCUUUUCAUACGCAGCAAUGAAACAGAGAUUGCAUCUGGCAGCCCUGCAUUCCGUUUCUAAUGCGCACAGGAAACAUGCAGAGACGAAGAACUGCGAAAAGCGCUACAGGAUUUCGUAUCCAAAGUACUAGGCGGGACACCAUGUCGUGAAACCUGUCAAAGAGGCCUGCAAUUAUGAUUAUGUCACAGAGCUCAUGGUUGAAUUGCUGCAAUUAAAACAACAGUUCAAUAGCACCCGGAUUGCUAAGCCGGCAUCUUCUUCCAUUCUGUUCUCUCCACCACCAUUAGCAUCAUCUGCGAAGAAAAUUUUAAAGAAUGAAGCAGUGCAGUUGCACCGCUCUAGGUUUAAUUAAUUACAGUAAUUGGAAACAACUUGGCAUGCCAUUUGUCAUGUAUUGCUCCAGCUGGGUUUAGUGUACGUGCGUAAGGUGUCAUCCCAGAUUAGCCUGUGCCAUAUAUGUUUGUAAUUAAUUAAAAAAAUCCUCGCGCUGGAAAGAUGAGACAAAGCGUGCGCAAAAUAUCUCGUCCCAUAUUAGCCUGUGUCCCUGAUAAGACUGUGCAGACUCGACGUGAAAACAUGAUAUGCCCCAAGUUUUAUAUGACAAUGUCUACGAAUGUGCCCUAAUGACAAAUUAGAACCUAGCUGAAGCACGUAUUGUUUCAAAUUAACAUAGCAACUACAAUGAUUUUUUUGAAAAAUGUGAAUGUAUUAUUUUGACAAAUAUGCUGUAAUAAUAGUUUAUCCAUUGUGUGCUAUACUGUUAUUAUAAAAAUGUUAAUGUCAACACCUUUAUUUUUAAAUGUUGGGACCAUGUAGUGUUUUUUGUGUGAUAGUAUUGGUCUGUAAAAGAUGUUUUAAAAGUCAUUUUGUUAAAGGUACUUAAUUUGACUCCAUGACAAGAUGUAUUGCAACAUUGUGCUAGUAAAGCUCAUUUACUUAUUCCGUCCAGUUUUCUAAAACUUGUCGUCAGGUUACAAGUUGUUCUGUUGUUGUGUCUGUGGUAAUUUAUAUUUUUAGAUGUUGCAAUAAACUUGUAUGCAACAUAUAUAUUGUUGUGUUGGAAUGUUUUCUCCAUUUCAAAAACAUCGAGAGUAAAAAUUUGACAUGCUAUUUCUCAUUAAUAAUAUUAAGUCACCUCGCUCGUGGAGAGUUUAGAAAAAUUCAUAUUUAUAUAAAAUCAAGACUAAUUAUUAAAAAAUAUUUAUUAAAAAACAACAGAAAUGAGAUCAUUCAAACUUUGAAGUGAAUGUCGACGUAAAUGAGAUCAAUUUACCAUAAAUAAAAAAUCGUGUGCAGGGAACACAUCGGGUUUCAACAAAAUGGCCAUGUCAGGAUACUAGCAAAAGAAAUAAAACAUCUAUUCUCGGUCAUUUAGUAUUAAAUGACACGACCAUUUACGUAAGAAUUAUUCAUUUCAAAUCAACAGUAUUUAUUUCAACUAGUACGUUGUUGAAGUGUUGAACUUGAACGGUUAGUAAAUUUGGACAGGCAUUCGUACGUCGAUCAGUUUCAGGGAAUAAUUAUAUCUUUUCAAUGUGCCAAUUAUAUUUGUCUGAUUAAAUUAUAAUAAAUUACUUAAACAGUCAAGAUGCGAUGUCCUGUGGAUGUGUACUAUGAAAAAUAAAAACACGUUAUAUGACGAACUUUAAAAAGACAAAAGCUGAUACCGUUUCCUUUGUUAUGAACUCGUAGCAAGUGGUUAACUCAUACGUCACUUCCGGUUGAAACAAAAAUGUCGACUCGAUCACGAAGUGCGAAAAAUCGGCAUAGUUAUCGGCUGUAUACUCGCUGAAUACGAUGGUUUUAAUCGAAUUAUGAUAUGGAAAUGCAUUUAAACGUUAUAAUCUCCCAUAAUAUUGGUGUAUUUCAGGAUUUUUUAGUCGGGUCCGUUGAU